GACCUGGGGGCGGAGCCGGCCUCUGACCCCGCCCCUAGGCCCCGCCCCUAGGCCCCGCCCCGCCCCCGACGGGGCGCACGGGCGGCCUCUCCCAAGGGCGGCGGAAGCGGAACAGCCGAGGGCGGUUUACGGGAGGUGGAGCCGCGAGUCACCGCUGUGCGGGCGUCCAGGGGUCCCGCCCAGACGGCCGGACGUCUGGGCCCAGGGAAGGGGACGAGGCCACCAGGCUAUGAGAAAGAAGGCCGAAGCCACCCAUAAACUUGGAGCGCGUGGAUUUGGAGGAGGCAGAAAAGGGAGCCGGGUCUGUUGGUGCACACCUGUAAUCCGAGCACUAGGGAAGCUGAGGCAGGAGGAUCAUUGUGAGUUUGAGGCCAGCCUGGGCCACAAAGUGAGCUCAAGGCCACCUUGAACUGCAUAUCAAGACCCUGUCUCAAGAGGACAAAAAUAUAAAUAAAUAAAUAAAUAGAUAAAUAACAGAUAAGGGAUCAGUUGCAUACUUGUGGGAGACAGUUAGUGACCUCCCCCUCUGUCCCCAGACCUUUUCUUUGGUAUCCCCCACAUCUAGAAAGUCCCUCCUGUUACCCAGCUGUCACCAUCUACUCUGAUUUUUCCUGCUUCAUCUUGUGAAGUCCU
This 633-nucleotide long non-coding RNA is filed under the name Chinchilla lanigera (long-tailed chinchilla). Its description in RNAcentral is "lncRNA (ENSCLAG00000027598.1)". The record is from RNAcentral. Lineage: Eukaryota; Metazoa; Chordata; Mammalia; Rodentia; Chinchillidae.